RNAcentral lists this ribosomal RNA (408 nucleotides) under Toxicocladosporium irritans. RNAcentral's name for it is "partial small subunit ribosomal RNA". It matches the Rfam family "Eukaryotic small subunit ribosomal RNA", at positions 30 to 432 of the family's 1831-position model. The record is from RNAcentral. Lineage: Eukaryota; Fungi; Ascomycota; Dothideomycetes; Cladosporiales; Cladosporiaceae.
GCUUGUCUCAAAGAUUAAGCCAUGCAUGUCUAAGUAUAAAUAAUUCUAUACUGUGAAACUGCGAAUGGCUCAUUAUAUCAGUUAUAGUUUAUUUGAUAGUCCCUUACUACUUGGAUAACCGUAGUAACUCUAGAGCUAAUACAUGCGCAAAUUCCCGACUGUCGCAAGGCGGAAAGGAUGUAUUUAUUAGAUAAAAAACCAAUGCCCUUCGGGGCUCCUUGGUGAAUCAUAAUAACUUAACGAAUCGCAUGGCCUUGCGCCGGCGAUGGUUCAUUCAAAUUUCUGCCCUAUCAACUUUCGAUGGUAGGAUAGUGGCCUACCAUGGUAUCAACGGGUAACGGGGAAUUAGGGUUCGACUCCGGAGAGGGAGCCUGAGAAACGGCUACCACAUCCAAGGAAGGCAGCAGG